Molecule: ribosomal RNA, 324 nt
Filed under: Triticum aestivum (bread wheat)
Lineage: Eukaryota; Viridiplantae; Streptophyta; Magnoliopsida; Poales; Poaceae
Description: partial small subunit ribosomal RNA
Source: RNAcentral
AUGGUCAAUUUGGGCAUCGGUUUGUUAAGCAGCAAAAGCUCGCAUGUUGAAUCUACUCAACUCAAGUGGCCGGGUGAGUGCGUGAACGCGUUUGAUGCGGUCUUCAGGGCAGAUGCUCGCCCACCUCAGCGAGUCCGGCGGCGAGGCCAUCAGGAGGUCCGACGGCUAGCGACGGUGGUGGAUGUGCUGGAGGUUGGUGGCGUUGAGGGGGCAGUAAGGAAGCUCACGGAGAAGGGUGUGGAUUUCCUAGAUGAGUUCGUGCAAUGGAUAAUGGUCGGAUCUGAGGAGCGGGGCAGAGACUUGCACUGCGGCUAUGCUUCAUGA